ACUUUCAAACAACGGAUCUCUUGGUUCUGGCAUCGAUGAAGAACGCAGCGAAAUGCGAUAAGUAAUGUGAAUUGCAGAAUUCAGUGAAUCAUCGAAUCUUUGAACGCACAUUGCGCCCUGUGGUAUUCCGCAGGGCAUGCCUGUUCGAGC
RNAcentral lists this ribosomal RNA (150 nucleotides) under ascomycete sp. HK-S271. RNAcentral describes it as "5.8S ribosomal RNA". It matches the Rfam family "5.8S ribosomal RNA". From Rfam's summary of the family: 5.8S ribosomal RNA (5.8S rRNA) is a component of the large subunit of the eukaryotic ribosome. It is transcribed by RNA polymerase I as part of the 45S precursor that also contains 18S and 28S rRNA. Functionally, it is thought that 5.8S rRNA may be involved in ribosome translocation. The record is from RNAcentral. Lineage: Eukaryota; Fungi; Ascomycota.